GACGAACGCUGGCGGCGUGCUUAACACAUGCAAGUCGAACGGAAAGGCCCUGCUUUUGUGGGGUUCUCGAGUGGCGAACGGGUGAGUAACACGUGAGUAACCUGCCCUUGACUUUGGGAUAACUUCAGGAAACUGGGGCUAAUACCGGAUAGGAGCUCCUGCUGCAUGGUGGGGGUUGGAAAGUUUCGGCGGUUGGGGAUGGACUCGCGGCUUAUCAGCUUGUUGGUGGGGUAGUGGCUUACCAAGGCUUUGACGGGUAGCCGGCCUGAGAGGGUGACCGGCCACAUUGGGACUGAGAUACGGCCCAGACUCCUACGGGAGGCAGCAGUGGGGACUAUUGCACAAUGGGCGGAAGCAUGAUGCAGCAACGCCGCGUGCGGGAUGACGGCCUUCGGGUUGUAAACCGCUUUCGCCUGUGACGAAGCGUGUGUGACGGUAAUGGGUAAAGAAGCACCGGCUAACUACGUG
This 468-nucleotide ribosomal RNA is filed under the name uncultured bacterium. RNAcentral's name for it is "partial 16S ribosomal RNA". It matches the Rfam family "Bacterial small subunit ribosomal RNA", at positions 28 to 507 of the family's 1533-position model. The record is from RNAcentral.